Molecule: transfer RNA, 72 nt
Filed under: Hofstenia miamia
Lineage: Eukaryota; Metazoa; Xenacoelomorpha; Acoela; Hofsteniidae
Description: tRNA-Met for anticodon CAU
Rfam family: tRNA
About the family: Transfer RNA (tRNA) molecules are approximately 80 nucleotides in length. Their secondary structure includes four short double-helical elements and three loops (D, anti-codon, and T loops).
Source: RNAcentral
GCUCCUUGGCGUAGUUGGCAGCGCGCAAGUCUCAUAAUCUUGAGGUCGUGAGUUCGAUCCUCACAGGGGGCA